GCCGGGCUAGCUCAAUCGGUAGAGCGUGCGGCUCUUAUCAUCUCGAAUGGUUACCGCAAGGCUGCGGGUUCGACCCCCGCGUUCGGCU
Paecilomyces variotii is the source of this 88-nucleotide non-coding RNA. The record is from the annotation of a RefSeq genome assembly. NCBI's taxonomy places the organism in Eukaryota, Fungi, Ascomycota, Eurotiomycetes, Eurotiales, Thermoascaceae.